Molecule: long non-coding RNA, 2852 nt
Organism: Oxyura jamaicensis (ruddy duck)
Lineage: Eukaryota; Metazoa; Chordata; Aves; Anseriformes; Anatidae
Exons: 2
Source: RefSeq, a predicted model, not a curated record
AAGCUGAAUUCCUGAGCAUGUUUGCACUGCAGCAUUGCGGAGAGGCCCGCAGGCUGUGGCACUGCCUGCAGGAGCAGAGGCAACCAUCAGCACCAGGGACCUGUGAGCCCCCUCCAGCUUUGCUCUCGGAGCCGUUUGCCCCAGGCUCCCAGCUGUAAGGCUUGGCUGGGAGCUUGUAAAAGCUUAGUGCUGGCCAGGAGCCCUAUGCGUUUACGUGAGCGCAGCUGUGACAGGGUGCUCUACAUCUGCGUGAGUGUCUCUGGUUUAUGGACAGUGUACCAGUAGAUGGUGCUCAAGAAUGCAUAGCUCCAUUAUUACUAUCACAUGUCUGGAUUAAAUCAGGUGGUUUUAUUUUUUUUUUAUUUUUUGGUGCUCCAUCCCAAAGUCCUGAUAAUGUGGUAAAUAUCUGUGGUGUGCAUCUGGCUGUGCUAGCCCUCGUUGUUGAAAGGUGGUGCUCCUCUUUGCUUAGGGCUCUCAAAGGGCACGGUAGAAAAAGAACAGAGGUAGGGCUUGGUCUUUUUUGUCUAUCAGAAGCCUGAACUCCUGACUUACCAGGCACCAAUAACAGCAGCUGUUCCUGUUGACAGUUUCCUCUAACAACUUUCAAUCCUGGCUCCUAGGCACUGACCCUGGGCACCUGCCCAAGGAAUAUUGCCCAGCCCGUUCCACAGGUGGGAUGUGCUGCAUGAGACUCGUGCAGCUGCUCUGCCUCUCCAGUGAGAUCUGCGUGGGCCCCCUGCCAUCGUGUCACCUCGUGAACAGCUCGUGUCAGAUGUCUGACAUCAAGGACGCUAGAUGAGGCAGCAAUGUUGAAGUGGUAAAUAAAGAGCAAAUGAAAGCCUGCAGCAGAAGGAAAUCAGUCGUAGCAUCUGGGAAAUAUCCUUUCCAGGGUCUUUUCUAAGGCCAGCAGCAGGAGCCAGGCACCUAUUUCCAAUUGCAAUUUAGGCACCAAUGGAAAUUCCAGUGGAAUCUCAAAGAGAAGAAAAAGAGGAAACAAUGUACUACCCCUAUGGCUGUUCUACGUCUGGAUUUUACUGGAAACAUUUGUGUGCCCAGUAAAACUGAAGUAUUUUGCAGCAGUGCUUUGGACAAAGCUGCCUGCUUACAGGUACGUGCUCCACCUGUGUAGAGCAGAAUGAAAACAUACAGGUAUAAAUGCACAAAAGCACAGAGCUUCUAGGAAGAAUUUUAUCUUCUAUUAGGCAAGUUAAUACCAGUUUAGAAGAAACCAGGUGAGUUUUCUGGGUGGAUAAGCCCAUGUAUCAGCUGCUGACCAUCACUGUUGUAACAGCAUUAUGCAAUCACAGGAGAGAGGAAAAAAGGUGAAAUAUUUUUAUGAGGAACUGGUUAAGUCUGUAAUUUAAGCAGCUCUACAGCCAACUCUCAACACAACGGUGAAUUCAAUAUUUAAAUAAGAGCACCAACAUGAGCCAAAUUCUUUCCUCAAUUAUGCAGAGAUGUCUCUGGUCAUUUCACCGUAAGAGAAAAGUGGCAAACCAUUAAAAUUCAUAUUAAAUUUCUUUACAUCUAACCCUCGGGAAGAUAUUUGUAUGUAUAAGCAGUCCUUAAAAAAGACUCUUUUUGUAAUAUCUCUUUUGGAGCUAAAGGCAUGUUGCAUAGGUGACGGCGCAGAACUUACACUAGGAAACUAUUCAUUAUGUUAAAAUCACUGAGGAUGUGUGAGCCACUGCCUGCCUGUUGCUCCCAAGAAAAUCAAGCGGAGGCUUUGUGCUUGGUCCAGGUUGCAAGUGGUCUUGUCAAAGAUCACUGCUUUCAUCAGCUCUUCCUGGUGAGCAAAUGGGUAUGCGGGAGGAGGAGUUGGUUAGAGAAUGAAGAGAAUUUUUUUUCUUCUUUUAUUUUCUAAAUGGGAAGUAGCAAAGAGUGAAUGUAUGCAGCAACGAAUACAAUGAGCACACAGUCUUUUAGCAUGUGUUCCCUCGGGCUCUCUCAUGAAAUAUAGUGUGUGCCCAAAGAUAUGGGACAUACGUUGUUUCCCAAGGCUUCCUAAAAGGGGAUAUUCAGCCCGCAUCAGACACUCCCAGCUAUGAGCAUGGGCAUUUUGUGAGCAUCCAACAUGCCUAAGGAUGUCCAUGAUUACACUUUAAUGGUUUGAAAGCUGAAGGGCAAGAAUUCUCUUGCAAUGUUCGGUCUAGAGCAGUGGGUGCCUCCUCCCUCUGGGCACUCUGGUUUUGCUCCCAACAGAACAGCAGCAACGCAUUGUAUUGGCCACAUCCAGCACUGUUACUUCUAUUUAACAAGGUUUUCAAAGACACUUCACUGAAAAAAUCAGUGCUUCAGAAAAGAAUUAUGGAUAUCUUUAGCAGCUUAAAAGAAAAGAAACUGUUUUACAACAUUAACUGCAGUAGACAGUAUUUGUGCUUGAUGUAAUACAGGGAUAUACUGUUUCAUUAACUGAAGUAGCGUGCAAGGGCCUUGCAAUUUUUAGCUCUUGUGUCAAGGAUGCCUUGCAUUACUCCCUGAUGCAGUGCUUCAGGAGGCAAUGGCAUUUUAGCUUAGGUGGGCAUUUUUUCCCUUCAGUUUUUAGGUUGCUGAGGUGGUGAUGAAGGAGUGGAAGCACCAGUGCAUCUACAUGCACUUCAGGUAUGUAGGAAGAAGACAUUACGUCUUUAAAGCAAAAAGCAACUAAUUUGACCUCUUAGCCAAUGACAAGCCGUAGGACUUGAUUAGCAAGUUCUGAGGAGGAGAAAGCAAUUCUUAUUAUUUAAAAGGCCAUUAACUUGUAGUUGCACUUGAAGAAAUCCUUUAAGCAAAAUUAUAUUAAUUUAAAGAUCUACUGCAAGUGGAGGCACACGCUGUGUCCACUCUAUCAUUCUCUACUUUUACUAUUAGAA